Molecule: unclassified non-coding RNA, 160 nt
Filed under: soil metagenome
Description: partial internal transcribed spacer 1
Source: RNAcentral
CAGGACUCGCAAGACCCUGCAACCCUGUGAACUUAACUAUAAGCACGUUGCUUCGGCGGGUGUCUCGGCGAGGGUCCUCCCCCCUCCCCCCUCGGGCGCUAAGCCGCCGGCAGCCUACUAUACUCUGUCUCUUUGCGUUGGCAUCUCGAGUACAAAAAAA